RNAcentral lists this ribosomal RNA (497 nucleotides) under uncultured bacterium. RNAcentral's name for it is "partial 16S ribosomal RNA". It matches the Rfam family "Bacterial small subunit ribosomal RNA", at positions 28 to 507 of the family's 1533-position model. The record is from RNAcentral.
GAUGAACGCUGGCGGCGUGCCUAAUACAUGCAAGUCGAGCGAACAGACGAGGAGCUUGCUCCUCUGGCGUUAGCGGCGGACGGGUGAGUAACACGUGGAUAACCUACCUAUAAGACUGGGAUAACUUCGGGAAACCGGAGCUAAUACCGGAUAAUAUAUUGAACCGCAUGGUUCAAUAGUGAAAGACGGUUUUGCUGUCACUUAUCGAUGGAUCCGCGCCGCAUUAGCUAGUUGGUAAGGUAACGGCUUACCAAGGCAACGAUGCGUAGCCGACCUGAGAGGGUGAUCGGGCACACUGGAACUGAGACACGGUACAGACUCCGACGGGAGGCAGCAGUAGGGAAUCGUCCGCAAUGGGCGAAAGCCUGACGGAGCAACGCCGCGUGAGUGAUGAAGGUCUGCGGAUCGUAAAACUCUGUUAUUAUUGAAGAACAAAUGUGUAAGUAACUAUGCACGUCUUGACGGUACCUAAUCAGAAAGCCACGGCUAACUACGUG